AUAGUAUGUAUAGUAAUAGAGGCGUAUGGGACAAAAAAUAAAUCCACUUGGUUUCAGACUUGGUACAACCCAAGAUCAUCAUUCCCUUUGGUUUGCACAACCAAAUUUUUUUUUUUUUGAAGGUUACAAGAAGAUCAAAAAAUAUAGAAUUGUAUCAAGAAUUAUGUACAAAAAAAUUAUGAGAAUCUUUUCCGGUGUCGGUUAAUGGACCCAAUUGGUUCCAGGACACGAACCAGUCAACUCGGGUGAACCCGGUUUAAGGUCUAGGUCAAGACCAGACCACCACGUGGCGUGAUGUGAGUGGACGGACAAGGUGAGUAAGGAUAGCUGAUGUGUUAUGAUCUAGAGCGUCUGCGGGGAGUGCGGAUCCAAGGGCUGAGUAGGGGCCAACAAGCACUGAUGAGGGGACAAGAUGGGAGCGCCACAUGUCAACGCACUUAGUCGCCCCUGACACGUUCUGACGCGGCUCGAUCGUGGCCACUAAUGCUAGAGACCACGGACGGCUGAGAUGAGUGUGGCUAAUAGAGGCAUUCAAUGCUGCAAGACGUACUCACCACAUGUUGAGGUUCGAGAGGGGUCUUCAGGGAGUCUUUGGCGGGGUGCGUUUAAGCCGUUGAUGGAGCAUUAGAGCUACGUGGCCAUGAUCUGAGGUGUGGAUUCAAGUAAUGAUCGACAACUAGGGUUUAAUCGAGGGAGCAGGCAUCUCCACGUGGCACUGAGAGAGAGAGAGAGAAGUGCAGCAGGGAGCUUUGGCUUCAGGAGGUGAAAGCUAUUGGCUUUAAAUGCCUAGGGGACCUGAUCUGCCGCGUAUCAGGAGUGUGUGAGGCACGAAGGGGAUCAAUGACUACAAUGAACUCGUGGAACUCAAGUAAAUGCUAGGUGUCGCCUAACAGUUGGUAUGGCCAAUCGUAACCAUUGGUGAAGGUCAAUGAUCCAACAGUGAGGAUUGAGUUCGUCAUGGGACCAAUACUGGAGAGAUCGUAGCUAACCGGGGUGCGCAGAGUGAACAAUGGUGAAGAGGGGGUGAUGAUGCAUACGCAGAGGAGCGCGUGUGCUUAGGGGAAAGGCCGCAGGUGUUUAAAUUCUUGAGGGUGACUCUGCCAUAUGUCCGGGGCUGAGGGUGCAUGCGAGAUGGCCUUUGAUCUGAGCCAUCGAUGGAGCGUUUGAUCCAAUGGUGGCCAUGAAUAGGGCGGUCUGGUGCAUUUGGUGUUAGCAGGCGAAAUGGCUGCGUGUUGAUCCCUAAGUGGGGCACGCACAGGGGCAUCAUUAUGGGGGAGCAGGUGGCAUUAAUUGCUUUGAACACCAGGCGAUCUCAGCCGUUGAUGAGGAUUAGAGAUCCAAUGACUACGGGGGAAUCUCAUGCGCAACCUUGAUCUAAUGGACUCAAACUUCGCCACGUGUCUACAUCCUUGGGCUCGAGAGCUUAACUUAUUUAAGCUCAAAAAAAUCAUCUUUCUCAUUUUUCUAUUUUCCCUGCAAACCCUCUCUAUUCCUCUCCUCUCUCGCGCCUUCCCCGCGAACCAGUCCCGGAAACCUUAGGGUUUCUGUGUAAACUCCCUGCUGCUCCUUUGGAGGCUUGGCUCACUUGAAGAGAUGCCUUACUCCCUCUUCAUCCUCUCUAUCUCCCUUCUCUCAGUUUCUCUCCUCUUUCACACUACUUCUCUUUCUUAUCUCUUCUUUGGAUCUCUCUUCUCUCUGUUUUCCCCUCUCGUUCUACUUCUCUUUCUUAUCUCCUCUUUGGAUCUCUAUUUGCAGGUUUGUAGGAUGGAUUUGAGUGGGUUUCAGAUCAAAGUUUCGGUUACUCCCUCCUAAAGUUGAUGUCGAACUCAAUUCCUAGCAUGCUCAUUUUGAGAUGGUCGCGAGAGGGAGAAUUUGAAAAAGAAGCUCAUACAGUGACCUCCUUUGUGGACACGAGCUAAGUGAUCCUAUGCCUCUCUUUUUCUUUCAUUUUCUUGUGUGUGAUGUGUGCAAUACUAAUUGAAUGUUGAUUGUUUGAUGCUUGUGAUCUGGGUUUUGCUGUAGUUUUGGUUAGAAUUUAGCUUGUAGGGUAGGGUUGGAUCAUAGGAGUGAGGCCGAAGACGAGUCAACUCGUCUUCGACUUGGUGAGUCGGGCGUGUCUAACCAGGGUUGACUCGUGCGAGUUAAGCUGGAUGAAUUUUGUGAACUCAUGCAUCCAUGGGUGAGCCACAUGGGCUCUACCACGUGUGCAAGUCACGUGUAGGCCUUAAGUGGAUUGGGCUCGAGCAUUUUAGAGAGUGAGUUUGGGCCUAGGCGAGUUGGCUUUUGAAAUGGGCCAAAGUUUAUAAAAUAGGCCAGCCCAACAAGAUUUUAAAAAUAGGGCCUCUUGAGAUUUUAAAAAUGGGUCGGCCCUAUUUGAAAUUUCAAAACAGGGCCCCUAGUGGUUUUAAAAAAGGGCUGAGCCAAUAAGAUUUUAAAAUAGGGCCGCUUGAGACUUUAAAAAUGGGCCAACCCAAUUUGAAUUUUCAAAAUAAGACCUCUAGUGGUUUUAAAAACGGGCCGAUCCAAUAAGAUUUCAAAACAAGGCCUCUUGAGACUUUUAAAAAGGGCUAGCCUAGAUUAACCUUUGGGUUUUUAAAUUAAAAAGGGUUUGAGUUCAAGGCUUAGACCUGGAAUGAAAGCGAAUGUUCGACAUUUUUCCUCUUCUUUCUUUCUCCUUCGGUCUUCUUUUCCAACUUUGUGUGUGUCUGUGCUCUGGCUUAGCGCUCUGAACUCUUCUCCCUCUGCUUAGUGUGCUCUAAAUUCUUCAAAGUUUUAUCCUCUGCUCCCUGCACUAAGAAGUGUAGAGCUUCCACCUAUUCUCACCCCUCCCUUUUGUCCUCUUCUUCGGCAGAGUCUCUCUCUACUCUCUAACUUUCUCUCUCUCCUAAUUCUCAUAGGGUUUCUGUAUGCCUUCUCUCUCUAUUUUCACACAGUAAUUUUGUGCUUCCCUCUUUCUAAAAUGGUAGAACCUCCCCUCCUUUUCUGAAUUUCUCCUCACUUCUCUCCAUUUUAACGAGGCUUCUCUACUCUCUCUAGGGUCCCCUGCUAUAGUGCCCGGACUCCCUAUUUAUAGGGAGUCCAAAGGGUGCUUUUGGUGCCAAUUCACUACUCCUCUAACCAAUUUCCCCCAUAACAAAAGGAAUAUUACUUUCCAGGUGUCCUCCUCUCCUGGCACGCGUGAGUGUCCAUUUCUUCUCUUUUUGGAAUUUUUCUAACCAACUCAUUCCUUUGGUGCGUAGGUGGCUUUUGCUAGGUGUCCUACUAGGACUUGCGGGCUUUCUUGAGGGCUUUUAGGUGGUGGUCUCAGACUGGAGGCCCAGGUAAUUGGAGUGGCCAGAUGGCAGCAUGGGAAUGGCGGGCUUUUGUUUUUCUGUUCCUGGGUUUUCUGUAUUUUAUUUAUUUUUUAUUUAUUUCUUGUAUGCUGAUGUAUGUACGCCCAAAUUUUAUGUCCUGCAACAAUAGUUUGUACAACUUAUUUUCCCGGUAUAGUUUCCAUUUUCUUGUA
Long non-coding RNA from Malania oleifera, 3505 nucleotides. RefSeq lists it as uncharacterized. The record is from RefSeq and is a predicted model, not a curated record. NCBI's taxonomy places the organism in Eukaryota, Viridiplantae, Streptophyta, Magnoliopsida, Santalales, Ximeniaceae. The transcript is spliced from 2 exons.